RNAcentral lists this unclassified non-coding RNA (236 nucleotides) under Rhizophagus sp. (in: glomeromycetes). RNAcentral's name for it is "partial contains 5.8S ribosomal RNA and internal transcribed spacer 2". The stretch from base 1 to 65 matches the Rfam family "5.8S ribosomal RNA", at positions 84 to 154 of the family's 154-position model. The record is from RNAcentral. Lineage: Eukaryota; Fungi; Glomeromycota; Glomeromycetes; Glomerales; Glomeraceae.
GUGAAUCAUCAAAUCUUUGAACGCAAAUUGCACUCUCUUCGGAGAGUAUGCCUGUUUGAGGGUCAGUAUUAAUAAAAAUCGGUGUGUUGCUUCUUUGUGACGCUCCGGAGUUUGGGUCAUCUUAAUAUCCUUUAGGUUUUAAGAGGCUUAAAAUUGACUUUUUUGCGCAUUUUAGAUGUACAUAAAUUCUUUUUUUUUUUGGUUUGCUUUAUUCUUAAAAUCCUAUUAAAAUUGGA